UAUUACUGUAUUGCAUAUUUGAAAAUUGCUGAGAGUAAAUCUUAUUAAAAGUUCUCAUGACGCACCCCCAUCAUCUUCGAGACACCCCAGUUGUGAUGUGGAGGAAGAAGAGCUGCCUGCAAGAUGGACACGAGCGACAAGCUGCACUGUGAACCCGGGCACUCCGUGCCGACGCCGCCAGCCUGCGGAGAUCGGAAGAGCAU
Callorhinus ursinus (northern fur seal) is the source of this 203-nucleotide non-coding RNA. The record is from RefSeq and is a predicted model, not a curated record. Lineage: Eukaryota; Metazoa; Chordata; Mammalia; Carnivora; Otariidae.